CUGACAGGCAAGUUUCAAGACAGUGGCUAAGCCCAGGUCCUGAAGAGAGGAGGACCGUGCAGGCGGCCCCAACAGAGGACGGGGACAGCUCUCUCCUUCUGUAAGUGAGGCAGCCUCAUCCUUCCCUGGAUCCUCAGCAUCUCUUAACCAGCAGUGGCAGAGGUUGAAUUAGAAUGGCACCAGCUUCGGAUAAAAAUCCAGAUCUCGCUUUUCAAAAUGUGUCUAGAGCUGGUGGCUGUAAGGAACCAGUCAAGCCUCAGCUGUGACUCUAAUCCUGCCAAGUCCACCUGAGAGCCGACUCAUUCAUCCAAAGAGAGAACGGUUUGGAUGGAGCUCAAGGUGCCUGGCUCGCUGGCAUAGCCCAGACAACCUCUUAAAGGCCGGGCCACAGAGCUAGAAGGUCUGUCACUACUCAGUUGGGGAAAUCGUCUGAGAAGUUCAAGUCCACUGCCUCGCAACUCAAAUGAGUCAGCCUCACCAACCAAGAAUCGCGUUCAUAAACAGACUCAGAGCCUGCGUGCCGUGGGGUUUCCCCGUCUGCAACUCUCUCACCUGGCCCUCCUGCAGGGCCCGGCG
This 576-nucleotide long non-coding RNA is filed under the name Homo sapiens (human). RNAcentral's name for it is "non-protein coding lnc-TRAPPC9-3:4". The record is from RNAcentral. Lineage: Eukaryota; Metazoa; Chordata; Mammalia; Primates; Hominidae.